GGGACUUUGGCUCUUAACUUGUGGCUAUUGUUUUAAUGAUCACUGUUGUGUGUUCAGGUGAUUGUGAGUGGCGUUCAGAUUGUUUAUUCUCAUCUAAUUGCUUGUUUCCUGCUGGAAUUUCCAUGUCAGACCCUUUCACUAUUUUCAUUAUUGCUUGCUUUCUGUUCUGCCCGACAGUUGGCCGCCUUGGUAUUGAUUAUCCAAGGUGGGUGCUGCUGUCACAGUCCUGUACUUGCUCUGACCCAUUUGAGGACUGUGUGGGGAACCAUUCUCAGUUGCUGGACCAAACAUCAGGAAAGAGACUUGACUAGGGCUUGGACUGCCUCCUGAGUUUGGAUGAGGCCAAAUUUGGAGUGCAUUUUGCACCCCCACCCUCAAGUAUUUCGGAGGAAAUGUGACCCUUGUGUUUCUGCUUCAUGUGCACUGAACUCAUUAAAAUGUUGAUUUACAAAGGGUGGGUGAUGUCCAGACAAAUCUCUGGGGCCUCUAUUUCAAGCCAGUCUUUUUUUUUCUUGGUGACUUUUUGUGGGAAGGGUAGGUGGGAAGAAGGAAUCAAAGAUUUUGUUUCUAAACCGGGAAAUCACAUUCCUUCAGGAAUGAAACUUGGACCUAGCAGGCAGAGACAGGAACUUAGACCUCUGGAGUUGAUUGGGUUCUCUAUUGGACGAGUCAUGUGCUUCCAGACCUAAUCAGAACCACCUGGACUUCCUCAAGGCCCAGUCACUGUCCAGGCUGCAUGAAACAUUUGAACUUGACCUGUGCUGAAAACGAGCCAGGGUACAUAAAAGACGAGCAUUCAUUUACAGAACAAAUGUACAUCUACAGAGAGCACUUGGAAUUCUGCAACAAACCCUCCAAGCUUGGCUUUUCAAUUCCUCUGAAAUCCCAGUGACUACAUCCCAUGAACAUUAAGUUACUCCUUUUUUAAACAAUCUAACCAUCCUGGAACUUGGGGGUGCAUUUUCUUACAGGGUGCACAUAAAACCUGUUUGGCACAGAGCGAAAGGAUGAUGACAUAUUAAAUUCAGCCAUGGGCCACUGAACUUCUUUAAAAGGCCCUGAGAUUUUGGAUUUUGCCUCACUUCUCAUUUUUUAAGGGGAAGAAUGUUCAAAAGUCAUUCUGUGUCUGUGUGUAUGUGCGUCUUAGGAACUAUCCUGACAGUGUUCUGAAUCUUGAUGAAGAAAAAGGACAGCUGCUGUGUUCCUGUUUAGUUCCUAGCAAAUAAAGCUCUUCAUUAUGACCCUGUCUGUCCGUGUGUCUUUGCAGUAUUGGGGACUGAGCCCAGGGUUGCUCUAUCUCUGAGUACACACCCAGCCCUUUUUAUUUUACUUUGAGAUGGGUCUUGCUAAAUUGUCCCGGCUGGUCUUGAACUUGUGAUCCUCUUGCUUCAUCC
Molecule: long non-coding RNA, 1394 nt
Filed under: Marmota monax (woodchuck)
Lineage: Eukaryota; Metazoa; Chordata; Mammalia; Rodentia; Sciuridae
Source: RNAcentral